RNAcentral lists this long non-coding RNA (652 nucleotides) under Linum usitatissimum (flax). RNAcentral describes it as "long non-coding RNA (LUSI_LNC005877)". The record is from RNAcentral. Lineage: Eukaryota; Viridiplantae; Streptophyta; Magnoliopsida; Malpighiales; Linaceae.
UUCAUCCUUCCUCGGUUGCACCAUCCACUUCAUCCUCCUUGGCAAAAGACCAACAGAUCCCUACGGAAGAUCUGGCUUCGUCGCUUUGGAUUGUACCGCAGGAAUUUCUUUCUCCUCCUUCAACAAAUAUCGAAUCCUUAGAAGAACCAUAAAAAUUGGGGAAGAACGAAAUACCGAUCUUGGUCGUGGUUGCUAGCUUGCACAAUUGAUCUCUUCUUCGAGAUAGGAGGCACCCUCCGCCAAUUCGAGCUCUGUAUCUUGCCUGAAACGACAUAUCUUCUUCCAUCUCUGAUUCAUCUCCAGAUCUAUCUUCAUCUCCGGAUCCGUCCAAGUUCAUCAACUGUUGCCGUUCCCAUCGGUAGUAAGGCUCAAAGGAGAUGGGCGAAAGUAUCUAGCGUGUUGAGAUGGUUCUCUAUUCGUAAGCUUGUUGCGAAAAGGAAUCGUGUUAUAGAUAUUCAUGAUUUGUGUUGGACGUGGAAGUGGAGGUGAGUAUAGGCGUCAGCGUUGGCAACGCAUCAAAGAUGACACUCCUGCUUAAUUUUUUGUUUAUUUUAUCAUUUUUAUUAUUGAAGAAAAGAUGAUGUGACAUGUAUUUUAAUUAAAAUGUCCGUGUGGCAUAUGAUGUGUGAUUAAUUUGAUCAGUCAAAAUGAC